Long non-coding RNA from Vespa velutina, 2191 nucleotides. RefSeq lists it as uncharacterized. NCBI's taxonomy places the organism in Eukaryota, Metazoa, Arthropoda, Insecta, Hymenoptera, Vespidae. The record is from RefSeq and is a predicted model, not a curated record. The transcript is spliced from 6 exons.
UAAACACUCUCUUGAUAAUUUUUGAAAGAAAUAAGUUUCAGCAAAUGCUUUGAUAUAUUUUUAACGAAGAAAACUAUUGUGACCCUAUUGUGGAUAACCAAUAAUAUUUUUUAAUUUCUCUAAACUGAUUGGCUAAUGAUCAAUGAAUGUUUUCUUAAUAUUAUUAUUUUUGAUUGUGUGAAUGUUUUUCUAUUAAUGAUAUAUACAGAAUAGAUAGUUCUUUCCUAUUAUAUAAAAUGGCGGGAAUUUUCAUACAUAUCUGUUUUACUGUAUUUCAAACUAAUAAUAGCUGAUGGAAAAGGUUGGGUACUGUUUCUUGCCAUUUAUUAAGAAACAAAUUGAGAGUAUUUAAUAUUUUUAACAAGUUUAGGAAUUUUUAUAGAAGAUACAAAGAGAUGCCAAUGUUUGAAGGAGGAAAUUCUAAUACUGAAAUAUUAAUUGAAGAAACAUUGGAAGACAUUUGGAAUAUUACAUUAAAAAUAAAGAAAGAAUUGGAUAUAAUAAAUGACCUUGUAAGAGAUAAUGGAGAUUUCAAUGUAGCAGUCAUACGAACAAAUCAAAAUUUACUAAAAAUAAUUGACAAAAAAGGUAUAGAUUUAUCUACUAUUGAAGAAGAAGAGAAAUGUGAAGAUGGUAAUGUUAAUGAUACUAAUAGUAAGAGUGGAUCAGAUAUUGUAGACCCUCUUGUCUCUGUUAUAAAUAGAUUUUCAAAGAUUUUAGAAAACAAUGAAUAAUUAAUGCAAGUAAAUAAUUAUAUUGUACCAUUACAAUUUUUCUACCUUUUUUUAUAAUGUAAGUAAAAUUAUAAUUUUAUAUUUGAUAUGUAAACAUUUUUAUAUAUUCCAUGAUAAAACCCAGUAAUUCAUUAUCUUAAAAUUAUGAUUUAAAAUUUAAUAAAUUAAUAUUUCAAAGCUUAGACUCUGUGAGCCAAGUAUAUUUUUGUUCCUUGCGAUCAGCUUGAGGGUCAAUCAUUAUAUUUAUUAAACUUGGCGCAUUUAAUUCCUAUAAAAUGUAAUUUUGUAUUAAAACAAUAUUAUAAUAUAAGGUUGGAACUUUUCAGUAUAACUUACUGCAAAUGAUUUUUUUAAUGCUUGUUGAAUUUCUUCUACAGUCACGCAAAAAUGGCCUUUUUUUCCAAACAUUUCUAUCAUUUUUUCAUAAUGAGUUCCAGAUGUUAAGCUAUGAGGUGGGAUCCUUUAUCACAAAUUUUUAAUUAGAAAAAAUAUUUAUAUUUAACAAUGUUUAAUCAUACAAUAACUUACGUUUGUGUUGGAUCACCAGUCAUUUGUAUUUCUUUAAAUGUUUUAUUGUCCAAACCAUUAUAUAUACCGUUAUUAUUUAUUAUGAUAACAAUAAUGGGUAAUUGGUAUCUGGAAAGAUAUAAAAUAUUCUGCUGGAGAUAUCCUAGACUUCUGCGGGAAAGAAUUAAAAUAUUACCUAAACAUAGUUUCAAUUUCCAUUCCAGAAAACCCAAAUGCACUAUCUCCUUCAAUGCAAAGCACUCUCUUUCCAGGCACAUUAUCUUUACAAUAUAGAGCGGCUGCAAUUGCAAAACCUAAACCUACACCCAUAGUACCAAAUGUUCCAGCAUCUAAGCGAUGACGAGGUAAAUUAUUUAACAGGAUAGUACGUCCGAUAUCCAUUGUAUUAGCACCCUCGGAGCAAAUUAUACAGUCUAUUGCUUUGAAAUCGAGGUGGACGCCCAAAAUGCAGCAUCCAAUUGAGCCUAGCACCUAAUAAUAAUAUUACAUCAGAUUGUUGCAAAGCAUAUGUUCUUGCACUAGAAAUACAUAAUGGAUCCGUAUCUGGAACAACUCCUUUUCCCAUUGGUGUUGGAAGAAAAGGAAAUAUCAAUGGUGGUUCAGGGCAAGGUAAGACCAGUGCAAUUUCUUUUUCAUCAACAUUUUGCGUUAAUAUUGUUGCUGGUAAAUCUAAGUUGAAUAUCGUACUGCCUUUUCUACAUGAACAGGAAUCAAAGCUGCAGAUGAUGGUCUAGCUGCAUAUUUACAAUAAGGUUUACUAGCUUCUACUUGGGGCCAUUCUUGAAAACCCCCAAUACCUUCAUGAUCUUGAGGACAUGAACCUCCUACUACUAAAAGUGGCCUAUAAUAAUUUUAAUAAUGAUUCAUUAUUAAAGACUUCAUUGAGUAAUUAUAUAUUUUAUAAUGUUUUAUUAAAAUUUUAAAUAAUA